GAUGAACGCUAGCUACAGGCUUAACACAUGCAAGUCGAGGGACCGGCGCACGGGAGAGUCACACGUAGCCAACCUGACCUUUACGCGGGGAUAGCCUUUCGAAAGCAAGAUUACUACCCGAUAUAAGGGAUCGGGCUGCGUUCCAUGAGGGUGUUGGUGAGGUAACGGCGCACCAAGCCUUCGCUGGAUAGGGGUUCGGAGAGGAAGGUCCCCCACAUCGGAACAGGUGUACGAUCCAAAAGCGUACGGGAGGCAGCGGUGAGGGUGAUUGGUCAAUGUGCGCUAGCCUGAACCAGCCAAGUAGCGUGCAGGAUGAAGGCUUGUGGGUCGUAAACUUCUUUUAUAUAAGAAUAUGUAUUAUAUGAAUAAGGAUCGGCUAACUCCGUGCCAGCCGCCGCGGUAAUAC
This 406-nucleotide ribosomal RNA is filed under the name uncultured bacterium. RNAcentral's name for it is "partial 16S ribosomal RNA". It matches the Rfam family "Bacterial small subunit ribosomal RNA", at positions 28 to 526 of the family's 1533-position model. The record is from RNAcentral.